AUUGAACGCUGGCGGCAGGCCUAACACAUGCAAGUCGAAUGGUAACAGGAAACAGCUUGCUGUUUCGCUGACGAGUGGCGGACGGGUGAGUAAUGUCUGGGAAACUGCCUGAUGGAGGGGGAUAACUACUGGAAACGGUAGCUAAUACCGCAUAACGUCGCAAGACCAAAGAGGGGGACCUUCGGGCCUCUUGCCAUCAGAUGUGCCCAGAUGGGAUUAGCUAGUAGGUGGGGUAACGGCUCACCUAGGCGACGAUCCCUAGCUGGUCUGAGAGGAUGACCAGCCACACUGGAACUGAGACACGGUCCAGACUCCUACGGGAGGCAGCAGUGGGGAAUAUUGCACAAAGGGCGCAAGCCUGAUGCAGCCAUGCCGCGUGUAUGAAGAAGGCCUUCGGGUUGUAAAGUACUUUCAGCGGGGAGGAAGGGAGUAAAGUUAAUACCUUUGCUCAUUGACGUUACCCGCAGAAGAAGCACCGGCUAACUCCGCG
Molecule: ribosomal RNA, 490 nt
Filed under: uncultured bacterium
Lineage: Bacteria
Description: partial 16S ribosomal RNA
Rfam family: Bacterial small subunit ribosomal RNA
Source: RNAcentral